Small nuclear RNA from Gorilla gorilla gorilla (western lowland gorilla), 96 nucleotides. Lineage: Eukaryota; Metazoa; Chordata; Mammalia; Primates; Hominidae. The record is from Ensembl.
GUGCUUGCUUGAGUAGCACACACACUAAAAUUGGAACGAUUAGCAUGGCCCCUGCGCAAGGAUGACACACAAAUUAGUAAAGUGUUCCAUAUUUUU